Molecule: long non-coding RNA, 379 nt
Filed under: Medicago truncatula (barrel medic)
Lineage: Eukaryota; Viridiplantae; Streptophyta; Magnoliopsida; Fabales; Fabaceae
Description: long non-coding RNA (MTRU_LNC007787)
Source: RNAcentral
GUUACUUGAUAUCGGUAAAUUGGCGAUUGAGCUUGAAGUGAGAAAAACCUUUCGAUUGAGGAAAUGUUAGUCGAUUGCAUGAACAACCAAGCGAGAGGAGCUGAUGUUUUUUCAAGGUCACUAGCACAAUAUAUGAGUCGCAAAUGUUCCAUACUGAGUUAAAAUAUAGUGAGACUGAACAAUGAUGCACCAAACCUAUAUAUCAUAUUUAUAGCGCCACUAACCACAAACAGAGAUGAGGGGAGAUGCAUGAUCAAUUGAUCAUCGUGGAGUUACGCUCCAAAAAAUUUGUCGCAAAUAAUGUCAUGAAGAAGGAAACCAAAGGGAGAUUCACACACUAUCCAGAAAAUUAGCCGAGCAAAAACUCAUAAUUUUAAGC